Molecule: long non-coding RNA, 3904 nt
Filed under: Heterocephalus glaber (naked mole-rat)
Lineage: Eukaryota; Metazoa; Chordata; Mammalia; Rodentia; Bathyergidae
Description: lncRNA (ENSHGLG00100044632.1)
Source: RNAcentral
AUCAGCUUAAAACAAUUUCAUGUAUAAUUGACAGAGUGAGUCACGUGGCUGAAGCGGAGUGAAGCUGGUGCGGCUUCCUUUGAACGGAAGGCGCUGCCUCUCUAAGAGUGAGCCGCACUGCUCAGCGACACUGCUUUGGCGGGUGCUAUUGCUGAACCUUUGCACACGUGCUGUCAUGAAGCUAUACAGACCCAGCGAGAGAGAACCAACCAGAGAGCGGUGUUAAAUCCACACAGGAGUUUAUUACCGGCCAGGACCUGAGCCGAGCAUCGGACUCAAGCCCCGACUGGGGGGAGACAGACAUGUUCUAUACACCUUUGAGGCCAGCAGUUUCCAGGACCCCUAUGGGAUAGAACUAGCAAAGCAAGCAAAAGAUUGAUUGGCUUCAAAAAUAAAAAAAAGAAUCUGAAUUCUGAAGACUUGCUGCUGGAAGCCUGAAAGUACUGGGGACCAAUAUCCAAAGGCAAUGGCAAAGACCAGAGCUCCUCCACAGAAAAAAAAGACAAUUCAUCCGUCCUUACUCCACCUAGGGUACAAGCUUACUGGUUGACGCAAACCUCAUACAGCACACAUCUUCCCUCCUUAGGCUGUGGCCUACACGCACAAACACUCAGGGCUUUACUAAAUCUGCUAGGUGGCUCAUACACCACUCAAGUGGACAUAUCACAAUUCAUGAUCACGAAUACCUAAGUUGAGUCUUUCUCUAAACUUGCCCUUCAUAGAUACUCUUCAGAUGUACAAAUUAUAGUAUGAUUCCAGCACAUCUUUGCAUGUAGAAGCCAAACAUUGUGCAAUAAAAGCCUCAAGGCAACCACAGUCACGACUUCAGAAAGAACAAAUCACCUGCACACGAGACAUCUGCUUCCUAAUACUCUGCACCUUGUCACGGUCAACAGUUCUUUAAACUGUGUUGAUUUAAAGCUUAAAAACAAUUUUUUCUCAUGAGAAAAUGAAGAUGGGAAAAAUUUAUUUUCACAGGAUAAAAUUUAUAGAAAAAGAGAUAAAAUGUGCAUUGUCUAUUUUUUCCUGUGCAUUGGUGAGUUCUUCACCAUUCUAGAUGUAUAUUGGCCCAAACUGCUCUGUGCCUAGAUAUUUACAUGCUGUUUUAUCUUUUUAAAACUACAGUAUUUCUUUACUCCCACACCUUUACUAACCCAUCUAGUCAUUUCUGUAAUAAAUUCUAAGCAUUUUAGAAGUUCCUCUCUAUUUCUGAAAGUAUAAUGAUCCUAAGGUUGAAUCCUCAUAAUGCUGAAUCAAAUCACUCAACUUAAAUUACUCAAUUGAUGCUGUAUUACAGGACAUAUGAUGACAUUUUGUGUAGACUAGGGACAUAUUUGUUGUGGCUAUUAUCAAUGUCCUGUCACACCAUCUGGAUUACAAGAACACACAUAGAAUACAAAAAUAUUUGGCCAUAUUCUAGAGAUUAUGAUCCACAGGCUUCUAAGACUCCUAAAUCUCCUAAGAAAAGAAGUAAUGAGAAAACUAAAGAAGCAAAAAAGGAAACAAAAGAACAGAUGGUAGAGAAAGUGAGGAAAGAGUCUGGAUAGUGAGAAAGAAGGAAUAUAGGGACCAAAGUGCCCCUUUAACUACACUCCCAGAAACAAAACUCUGAAGAAGAGUUGAUGGGUAAGGCUUUUUUCAUUUUGUUCUUCUGGUCCUCAUUCCUGAGGAUGAAUAUGAUGCAGUUUUGACCAUGGUGUGUCAGAUCUUUCAAAGAGACUCGGAUAUUUCCAAAACUGGGACAACGUAAAUGACAAAGGAACAGCCAGAAUGCUUGACAACCAGCAGAGCCAGAGUACUUGAAAACCACAGUGAGGUACACUGCACACAUGGAGAAGGGCAUCUGCUGUCCCUCAGUAGAGCAGAUCCUUAACUUGGAGGUCACAAUGAAGACACAGGAGAAUACAAUUAAGAUUAAACAGUCAAUGAGAUCUCACAGCCAGUAAGACUUCUUCUCCCUACAAUUCAACUUCAUGAGGAAAAAUGUGGCAGAGAAAAUCUUGGGUUACAUUAGACUCACAUAGGACAAGGUGGAAAACUAGUAUUGUCACCAAAAUGCUAUAACUGAACAUGGGACGUAUGUCAGGACAAAGCCCCAAGAUAGGCACUUUCACAAGGGCUGCUUGGCAUACUGUCACACAAAGGCAUGGAAAGGGACACACAGUGGGCUUACCCCCACAACCACGAGGAAGGGUUGUGUAGCAAAAGCUGAAGUGGAACAUGUGGUUAGCUCAGGCCAUACAUGUGAAGCAGCAGUGGAGGCACAGCACAGUAAUAUCACUGAUGGUCAUGCUGAGCACAAUUUCAGAGAUGCAGAAAGCAGUCAGGAAGAGGUACAUGGCUGUGUGUGGACUGUAUGCACUCUGGCAAGGAACUGAAGUGACAAUCAGUUUUCUAGUGUACAUUCCUCUCCCAGUGGGUUUGCAAGUAACUCCUUGCAGAGUCCCCUGCUGUGGAACAGGUGCAUCAGGAGGAAGACAGCUGGCUGGAGCUGCCAUGGGAGAACAAAGAAGCCAAGAGGAUGAACUGCAACCACAUGUAACAGUUCUGAAGGAGCACAGCUCUUGUGCCUGCUGAGAUCCAACACAGAAUGAAAACACAGUGGUGAAAACUUAGGUGGUUGCACAGCUCAAAUGGGAACUUAAUCACUUACCAGUCCAAUUAUUUAAAUACAGGAUGAUCCAAGAUUGCAUAUUUUUUGUGAAUUUUUAUAAGAUAAUAUAGCAGGAAAUAUGAAAAUGACAAUUUUAUCAAAUUUAUUCAAUACAAGAAUCAACAAGUUGAAAUGACUCCUGCUUGAGUGACGCUAGGGAUGGUAUGUAAACAAAAGUGCUGCCCACGUGAUGCUUGGAGGACACUGCUAAGUGGUUAAUAAUUCUAUAUGACUGCACAACAUGCUGGGUAUUUAUUACAGUGUCUCUUUCCUCAUCUAUUCAAAAAUAAUGGUAUUAACAUUCACCAUGGUGAUAAGGGUAAAACAAGAGCCUUAUAUUAAGGGCUUAAGCCAGAGUUUAGCAACUAGCUGGGUUUUCUUAGUACCGACUACAAGAAAGGGCAUGUGUUUACAGUCACUGUAGACAGGAAUUGAUGAUCAGGUUAUAACAAACCUACCUCAGAGUGCACAUGUUCUAGGAAACAUAUAUUUGUAUCUGGUUGGUUUGUAAAAUAUUUUCUCUGAGAGCCCAUCUUUCCUUGAUUAUUUAGAAUGUAUUGAUUUACGUAUGUUUCAAAUGUUCAUUAUUGGCAUUCACUGAAGACACCAUACUCCCUAUUCUAUGGAAAAUAAAGGGAUCUAGGGAUGCUUCUGCACAUUUGAAAUCUAGCUCCUAAGAAAUAUCUAAAGCAAAAGGAUCAUAAUUUUAAGAUAAAAAUGGGUAAAAUAUCAGGAGUUUGUAUUGCUAAGCAACCAACAUAAAAUACAUUGUAAAAUUCUAUGAAACUCAAGUAGUAAACAGCAUCAUGUCACUGAGAAAUAGGUAGAAAUAUCUAAAUCCUAAGUAGUGGACUAAAGUUGCAAAUUUUGACAGACUUCAGAAAUGCAAUGUGGGAAUUAUUUAUUUUAAUACAGUUUAUAAUAUUCACACACUACAUAUCAGAUAAAUUUCAAAUAUUUGUAAAAUACAAACUAUAUGUCUUGCCAAGCAAAUAGGCAACUUUUAAAAACCAUUUUGUUAGGAUAUGUGAAAUCUACUUUCAAUUACAAAAUAUAAAUAUUAGAUUGCUUAUAAUAAGGAAAACUACAAAUUACAGGGGAGGAACAGCUUUAGAAAUCUCAUAUAUUUUCUUUUCCAAGUGUAGGUGGAAGGAAUCAAAUAUCAUCAUCACAUGAAGGAGGUGCUCCACUACUGGACCAGAUUUAAAUUCCACCCAUGUUACUUAUACAAUGUACAUUAAAUAAUCUAGU